UCCCUCUCUCUCUCUCUCUCUCUCUCUCUCUCUCUCUCUCUCUCUCUCUCUCUCUCUCUCUAAAGCUAUAUAUAUAGAGAGAGAGUUGAGCUUCUGUGCUUUUAAAAAUACAUAAACUUUUGUCUCUGUAAUUUUUUAGUCAUCGGAUCGCCUUAAAAUUUGUGCAACACUACUAACGGUGUGUCCCAUUAAAGAGUUAGUGUCGGAUCGUUGAUACUAACCAUUAAUACCAAAAGCUUGAGCUGUUAGAAAUAUGCAACCAAUUCACUUACAGUAUAUAGAUACAGUGCCCACGGGUCUCGAUUGUGACUCGGCCCAAUCAGUCUCACGCCACUUCGAAUAUGACUUGGUCUACCCAGCCUCACACUAUUUCGAACAUGACUUGACCUAACAAGACCUCCCGCCACAGGGCAGAAUGCUGGUCCAUUUAAGCCAACAGUUAGUGUCGCACGAAUAUUGAGACAAUAUUCCGACAACUAAAAAAUUAAAAAUACAUUUAGUUCCUGUGUUUUUAGAAGUAUAGGAGCUCAACUCUAUCUAUCAAUCAAUAGGAUUUUCUUACUUGUAUUUGAAG
This 574-nucleotide long non-coding RNA is filed under the name Ananas comosus (pineapple). RNAcentral's name for it is "long non-coding RNA (ACOM_LNC030986)". Lineage: Eukaryota; Viridiplantae; Streptophyta; Magnoliopsida; Poales; Bromeliaceae. The record is from RNAcentral.